CUCCGCGGCUCUUGCCAGGAGCAGAGCGCAAGGGAGCCGGGGAGCACCAGCCCGAGCCCGGCUCCCGCUGGGGAUGGAUGGGGCUCAGCGCCGGGCUCCGGUCGGACUCGUUCUGCUCUCCCUCCCUCUGCUCCCACAGCCUCAAGCCUCAUCUCCCCUGCCCACGGCUGCAGCAAAGCCCCGUCUCGAGCAUGUCACAUGGAAUGAACCAGGAAAACUCCACGCAAAACCUUCUGAUUGCUGGCUUCCAGAGGAAAAUUCCCUCCUGGCCAGAAAGCGAGGAGGACAAGUGAGACAGUGGUUGAACCUCACCUGAAUCAUUUUUCCAGUUUGCCAUUCAGCCACCAGAACACGUCCCUACAGCUCUGGAUCCAGCAGUUUAACAGCUCUAUUGUUUUCACUUGACUCCUGUGAAACUACCUGUGCUGGGAGUCAGCCACGUGGCUUUGAGUCUCCCUGAAUCCAUGCCCAAACAAACUUUAGAAGUCAAACCAGGUGAUGGGCAGAGCCUGGCAGGGAGCCCCAGAAUCCUGGCUGGCCCUUCAGUGCUGAGCUCGGGACCCUUCUCAUCCUCCAGGUCUGCAGAGCUCCCUACAACACAUCUGGCUGAAGAGGGAAGGAUGGGGGCUGAAAGGGGAAUUAUUUUCUUUUGCAGCUUUCAGUGCUUAUGACCCAAAUUGGGGAAGUGUGUAAGCUGAAAGAAAUGCCUGGGUGGAUUUGAAACUGAGAUCAGGGAUACAUUUUUCAGUGGUUCUUAUAUUAGUUUAAAAUGUACUUUUCACUCUUAUGAGCAUAGCUUCCUUUAAAUAAAUACACAGAUAACUUCUCCUGGUUGCCA
This 838-nucleotide long non-coding RNA is filed under the name Parus major (Great Tit). RNAcentral describes it as "lncRNA (ENSPMJG00000014023.1)". The record is from RNAcentral. Lineage: Eukaryota; Metazoa; Chordata; Aves; Passeriformes; Paridae.